RNAcentral lists this ribosomal RNA (405 nucleotides) under uncultured bacterium. Its description in RNAcentral is "partial 16S ribosomal RNA". It matches the Rfam family "Bacterial small subunit ribosomal RNA", at positions 29 to 526 of the family's 1533-position model. The record is from RNAcentral.
AUUGAACGCUGGCGGCAGGCCUACACAUGCAAGUCGAACGAGUGGCGGACGGGUGAGUAAUGUCUGGGAAACUGCCUGAUGGAGGGGGAUAACUACUGGAAACGGUAGCUAAUACCGCAUACCAUCAGAUGUGCCCAGAUGGGAUUAGCUAGGUGGUGGGGUAACGGCGCACCAAGGCGACGAUCCCUAGCUGGUCUGAGAGGAUGACCAGCCACACGGGAACUGAGACACGGUCCAGACUCCGACGGGGGGCAGGGGUGGGUAAUAUUGCACAAUGGGGGCAAGCCUGAUGCAGCCAUGCGGCGUGUAUGAAGAAGGCCUUCGGGUUGUAAGGUACUUUCAGCGGGGAGGCGUUACCCGCAGAAGAAGCACCGGCUAACGCCGUGCCAGCAGCGGCGGUAAUAC